This 253-nucleotide ribosomal RNA is filed under the name uncultured bacterium. RNAcentral describes it as "partial 16S ribosomal RNA". It matches the Rfam family "Bacterial small subunit ribosomal RNA", at positions 524 to 776 of the family's 1533-position model. The record is from RNAcentral.
UACAGGGGGUGCAAACGUUGCUCGGAAUCAUUGGGCGUAAAGCGCACGUAGGCGGUUCGUUAUGUCGGAUGUGAAAGCCCUUGGCUUAACCGAGGAAGUGCAUCCGAAACUGGCGAGCUAGAGUACUAAAGAGGAUCGCGGAAUUCCCGGUGUAGAGGUGAAAUUCGUAGAUAUCGGGAGGAACACCGGUGGCGAAGGCGGCCUUCUGGACAGUGACUGACGCUGAGACGCGAAAGCGUGGGGAGCAAACAGG